UACGUAGGGUGCAAGCGUUGUCCGGAAUUAUUGGGCGUAAAGAGCUCGUAGGCGGUUUGUUGCGUCGGCUGUGAAAACCUGGGGCUUAACCCCGGGCCUGCAGUGGGUACGGGCAGACUAGAGUGUGGUAGGGGAGACUGGAAUUCCUGGUGUAGCGGUGAAAUGCGCAGAUAUCAGGAGGAACACCGGUGGCGAAGGCGGGUCUCUGGGCCAUAACUGACGCUGAGGAGCGAAAGCGUGGGGAGCGAACAGG
This 253-nucleotide ribosomal RNA is filed under the name uncultured bacterium. Its description in RNAcentral is "partial 16S ribosomal RNA". It matches the Rfam family "Bacterial small subunit ribosomal RNA", at positions 524 to 776 of the family's 1533-position model. The record is from RNAcentral.